CAGCAUGCUGUUAAAGUCAGCCUGGAUUCAAGGGAAAAGGAACUGAUGCUAUCUCAACAGAAGGAGUAACAGCUUGUAGCCAUCUCACAUCUACUGCAGUUACUACUCUCAGUAUUGGCUUUAUAUUUAAUUUGAUGGAUCACGAGCAGAGAUGUGGAGAAGGAGGUAAUGGAACAAUCUGAGCUCCUCAUCUUUUUAGGCAAUAGAAUUUCCUGUAUAGAAAUUCUAUUAGAAAACCAGUUGGAAAGGAAAAUGAGACCAACACAGAUACAGUUGAAUGGCUCAGAUUAAAAUGAUCGGAAGAAGUUGCUUUAAUUGUUAAUUUCAUCACUACUGAAAGGGAUCAGAUGAAGAGAGAAGUCAGC
RNAcentral lists this long non-coding RNA (365 nucleotides) under Capra hircus (goat). RNAcentral's name for it is "lncRNA (ENSCHIG00000001302.1)". Lineage: Eukaryota; Metazoa; Chordata; Mammalia; Artiodactyla; Bovidae. The record is from RNAcentral.